CUACGGGGCGCAGCAGUGAGGAAUAUUGCGCAAUGGACGAAAGUCUGACGCAGCAACGCCGCGUGGGGGAUGAAGCACUAUGGUGUGUAAACCCCUGUAGUUAGGGAAGAACGGCACAGGUUCGUAAGGGUUUGUGUAUGACGGUACCUAAAAAGUAAGCUCCGGCUAACUCCGUGCCAGCAGCCGCGGUAAUACGGGGGGAGCGAGCGUUGUCCGGAAUUACUGGGCGUAAAGGGCGUGUAGGUGGCCUUAUAAGUCAGAUGUGAAAGCUCCCGGCUUAACCGGGAAACUGCAUUUGAAACUGUUGGGCUUGAGUGCGAGAGAGGGUAGUGGAAUUCCCAGUGUAGCGGUGAAAUGCGUAGAUAUUGGGAAGAACACCAGUAGCGAAGGCGGCUACCUGGCUCGUAACUGACGCUAAUGCGCGAAAGCGUGGGGAUCAAACAGGAUUAGAUACCCCCGUAGUC
Molecule: ribosomal RNA, 464 nt
Filed under: uncultured bacterium
Lineage: Bacteria
Description: partial 16S ribosomal RNA
Rfam family: Bacterial small subunit ribosomal RNA
Source: RNAcentral